AAGACUGCAUAUGGCCUAUAUGGGGCUCCAUUCUUGGUGGCUUUUUAGGUUAGUGCGGUGGUGAGGCCCUCCCCUCCUUUCCUGUAUUAUAGACAGUAGUAAUGGUCUAGUGGUACUACCGCUGGGUUUCAGAACUACUGUUUGAAUCUAAUCAUGUGACCCUUCAAUCUUUCAUACGGUUGCAAUGUCUCCAUCAACAUUUGGCCUUGCAGUAAGUAGUUGACUUCAUAUGUAGUUGAUAAUUGGUUUGGUUCACCACAAUUUAAUCCUAAACAAUUAUAUUUUAUUCCUAGCUAAUUAAUGGAACUUUGACAUGUUUUCCAAUUCGUUUAGUAGUGGCUCAACUUACCUCUGAUAGUGUUGUUCUGCAAUUAACUUAAUUUUCUCCUGCGAAUGAGAAGAUUUUCACGCUAGGUCGUCAAGUGCGGAGCGGAGAACUGCUGAAAGCAUCUAAGUAGUAAGCUCAUCCCAAAAUGAACGCUCUCCUAUUUUGACUUCCCUAAAGCCUCCCCUAGCAUAUUACUCCUCUUACAUUAAUUGAUACUUAAAAGCGGUUUUACCUGGAAUGAAACAACAAAAAUGGAUUCACGAGGGUUUAGCACUUUUAUUUACAAAAAAAUAAAAAAAAAAUAAAAAAAUGUUGAUUUAAAAUGAUGGCCAGAGAUCAUGCAUUGUUAAACGAUAUUCGUGGCAUCCAGCAGCAUCGACGAAUGUUGGUGUAGGACUCAUACCCACCCACCCAACUAUAUAUAUAUAUAUAUAUAUAUAUAUAUAUAUAUAUUAUCCAAGGAUUUAUUCCAUGCAUUCCGACAAAUAUAAAUCAAACUAUAUAAUAUAAAUAUGUGGGAUUAAAUUAUUAAAGAACUCCCCCCGAUUCAUUUUUGUGUAUGUCAACUAGUUAGGCAAAUAGGCAUGGAAAAUCCAUGUCCAAUGUUAAGUUAGCAGAUCAAGGCAAAUGCACUUCUUUUUAUUUGUGCGUGCUCGUGUAUGCAUUACUAAUAACUGCACAUGCAUUAGUCGUUAAUACACACACACACACACAUACUUAAAAUCAUGUCUUGCAUUAUUGAUGGCCAGAAUUUAACAUAUCAUUCAUAAAACUAUAUAUAAAAUUACUACACCAUGGGACGCGACCAAAGUCAUGCCAAACAAUUAGGUAAUUAAAGUGAUUGAUCUCAAUAUUCUCCAACUAAACCUAAUGAUAAAGUUUGGUGUUUUACAUGACAUAGCCAACUAUUUACUGGUAUUGUGAGGUUGCAUUUUCGAGCAUGUGAGCAUAUAACUCAAAAUCAAUUUAUACUAAAUAGAAAAGUCUCGGCAGCAGGAAUUAUGUUCCAAAUCCCGGCACCUCAUUUCUUUUGCAUAUCUUUUAAUGCAAGACUUCUACUCUCUAAUGUGUGAUAUUUUCAAUGCACUCCCCUUUCGUUGAACCGUUUCUUAAACCUAACAUGUGUAUGGUUUUUAUUAAGAAUAUAUGAUUUAUUGUCAUACAUGUAGCAUGUAAAUUUUCUUUCUCGAUGUGG
RNAcentral lists this long non-coding RNA (1523 nucleotides) under Malus domestica (apple). RNAcentral describes it as "long non-coding RNA (MDOM_LNC006189)". The record is from RNAcentral. Lineage: Eukaryota; Viridiplantae; Streptophyta; Magnoliopsida; Rosales; Rosaceae.